GGGGGAUUAGCUCAGUUGGGAGAGCGCCUGCCUUGCAAGCAGGAGGUCGCGAGUUCGAAUCUCGCAUUCUCCA
This 73-nucleotide transfer RNA is filed under the name Anaerostipes caccae. Its description in RNAcentral is "tRNA-Ala". It matches the Rfam family "tRNA". From Rfam's summary of the family: Transfer RNA (tRNA) molecules are approximately 80 nucleotides in length. Their secondary structure includes four short double-helical elements and three loops (D, anti-codon, and T loops). RNAcentral also lists the same sequence under 1 other name. Lineage: Bacteria; Bacillati; Bacillota; Clostridia; Lachnospirales; Lachnospiraceae. The record is from RNAcentral.